Molecule: long non-coding RNA, 2171 nt
Organism: Acanthopagrus latus (yellowfin seabream)
Lineage: Eukaryota; Metazoa; Chordata; Actinopteri; Spariformes; Sparidae
Exons: 5
Source: RefSeq, a predicted model, not a curated record
UUAGGACAGAAGGUAUCGUAUAUAUUUUAUAAACUGAGGCAAUGUGAUUUGUGAUUUCGAGCUAUAUAAGUAAAAUAGUUCUGACUUUGCUGCAUCUUUAAAAUCUAACGUGCUUUGUUAAGUUUUAAUUUGCAGGAAACUGGCUUAAACAUUCACUCAGUUCACCCAGAAAUGAUUUGAUCCUCAACCUAAAAACUCACAACGACAUCAGGGACUUUUUUUUUUUUUUUUUUGCCAUUUGAGUGUAAAAACUUCUUGUUUCAUUUCUGCCCUGAAGUCAAAAUGAAACCCGCCUUUCAUCCAUGAGAACAAACCACUGAGGCGUUUCUGGUACUUUUCACUACAAGUUAUAGAGAAAAAUAAGAAAAAACAGACGUGUAAAAAUAGAAUUUUCAGAGCGAAUACAGGCUCCAGUAGCAGGUCGACAUGACUCCAAGUUUAUCAUCCAAUCUGUUCUGCACGGCCCAUAUAGAUAAACAUCUCGUGACAUAAGGAAGGAGACACGUACGAAGAUUAACUUCAGAUGCUGUUGAUGGGAAACCUUAUCCACUCCUCUUGGAUAAGGUUUUCCCUCGCCAGCAUCUGAACUUUAUCUUGGGACACAAACGCCUCUGACAGAGACAGAUGACUGCACCUGUACCUCUCACCUGUCGCAUUCCUUCGGAGCCCUCUGAUAUAAUGUGCCUGUAAACUAUAAAGCUGCACAAUUAUAUUUUUAAUUCACAGUUCAUCAAAAAACUGUCUGUCAUAGUGUCAUACCUGGAGGGAAUUAUCACCUUCAGUUAAACUUUAUAGUGUCUUUGAGCUCAUUGUUUUGAUUUGGCGACACAUAACUUUGCAGUUUUUAUUCAUCUGGGGAACUAAACUCUGUAAAAGGCCAGAUUCAUAUUGACACAAGUCUGCUGAAUGUGUAAGUUGAGGUUAUUGUUUGCUAACAUGUUAGCUAUAGCAACUAUAAAACCUGGUGAUGUCGCAUGUUUUGGCACCAAAGCUGAGAGUAGGUGAAAUAAAGUGAAUCUAUGAAAUGCUCAGACAAACUUAGGUGGUGGGACAGGUGGAGGUGGAGGUGGACUGAGGCUCAGGUGAGUGUGAAGCAGGUAAGCUGGGCAGCAGAGUGGCUGCGAUCAUCAGAUGAGCUGCAGGUGUGUAAAAAUGUCCAGAACAACCAACACAAGAAGUCCACAAUCAUGACAAAUAAUCUCUGAAUAUUUCUUUUUUUCCCUACACUUCCUAAAUCUACUGCUGUGGUUUACAGUUUAUUUCCAAGUUUAUUUCAUUGUUUGAGAUCAAAAAGCUUUUAUAACAUUCAGUGUGACUUCAGUAGAAGUGUUCCAGGUGCUGGUCUGAGUCGUUUCCAGUCGUGGUAUCCGUAUCGGAACAACAACCCGGGUUACGACAGGCGGUCACCCUACAGAUGUCAGCCGGAGAGCAAACUCCUGCUGAACCUAUAAGAGCAGGCUGCCAAGUGAGUUACCUCGAGUAGCUGUGGAUUUCUCUGGUUUGAACUUCGCUGGAAACACGUAACAGACUUGAACUCAGCACUUCUUCAUAUGAAAGUCGCCGGUCACUGUGAGGCGAUCAAUGAGAGUCAGAACGACGGCCAGAUCACACAGAUGAGAGAGGCCGCUCACGUCCGACGCCGGGGAUCAUCUUUACACUCAGACAACAGACGAUAUGAUCUUCACUGAGAUCAUUUAGUCUCCAGCACAGUUGAAACUUUGAGAGCGGGGGGUCACACGGAGGACAGAGGGCAGACGCUGUCCCGUCGAGACGGACGAUGGACGGACGGCACAUUCGACUUUGACUUUGCUUGUGUCUGUGAUACUUCCUUAAUCUUCACUAAAUGUUUUGCAAACCAAACGUUAAUCAGUGACGCCACAAAUCAAAUAUCACAUCGGCUGAAUUCUGUUGAUUCUGGAUUACAUCACACCGUGUUUUGUCGUUUCCCUCUGAGGAGCUGCUGUCUGCACAGUUCACUCCUUUAUCUCGUGCUAAACUUUGUUUCCUAACGUCUGAUAGCUGGUUUCAUACAAAUGCACAGUUGGCACACAAACGCGUAACUGCAAACCUUUUUUUCUUUUCUUCCUCGUGUUUUCAUUUGACACAACUUAGCGUGCUGUCUAAAAAAGCUGCCCAUGAUUGUUUUGAUAGAAAAGGGUGAGCGAUACCAC